GGAGAGAUGUCCGAGCGGUUGAAGGAGCACGCCUGGAAAGUGUGUGUGGGUUAACAGCUCACCGAGGGUUCGAAUCCCUCUCUCUCCGCCA
Molecule: transfer RNA, 91 nt
Filed under: Pseudomonadales bacterium
Lineage: Bacteria; Pseudomonadati; Pseudomonadota; Gammaproteobacteria; Pseudomonadales
Also listed under: 1 other name
Description: tRNA-Ser
Rfam family: tRNA
About the family: Transfer RNA (tRNA) molecules are approximately 80 nucleotides in length. Their secondary structure includes four short double-helical elements and three loops (D, anti-codon, and T loops). Further hydrogen bonds mediate the characteristic L-shaped molecular structure. tRNAs have two regions of fundamental functional importance: the anti-codon, which is responsible for specific mRNA codon recognition, and the 3' end, to which the tRNAs corresponding amino acid is attached (by aminoacyl-tRNA synthetases). tRNAs cope with the degeneracy of the genetic code in two manners: having more than one tRNA (with a specific anti-codon) for a particular amino acid; and 'wobble' base-pairing, i.e. permitting non-standard base-pairing at the 3rd anti-codon position.
Source: RNAcentral